This is a long non-coding RNA of Anguilla rostrata (American eel), 785 nucleotides long. RefSeq lists it as uncharacterized. NCBI's taxonomy places the organism in Eukaryota, Metazoa, Chordata, Actinopteri, Anguilliformes, Anguillidae. The transcript is spliced from 2 exons. The record is from RefSeq and is a predicted model, not a curated record.
AGACGAUGACAUUGAACAUUUUUUAACCACAUUUGAAAGAAUAGCUACCGUGGGCCGCUGGAACCGGGAAGACUGGACUAUUCAUUUAGUUCCUCUUUUAACCGGCGAGGCACGGAGUGCUUAUGUGGCAAUGGAAAUUGAGCACAGCAAUGACUACCACAAGGUCAAGGAGUCUAUCUUGACCAAAUAUGAAAUCACGGCCAACACCUACCACCAAUGGUUUAGUUCCCUGGACAUUCAGCGGUGGUGAAACCCCACAAGAACUGUAUGUAAGCCUCAAGGAUUUUUUUUCCAAAUGGACUAAGGUGAAACAAACCACCAUAAAGAAGCUUGCUGAGACUAUGAUCCUGGAACAGUUUCUAUGGAUGGUCAAUCCAGGAAUGGAAGUUUGGAUCAAGGAACCUGAUCCCAUGACCACUGAGGAAGCCGCACGUGUGGCUAAAGGCUUCGUCUCGGCCAGGAAGGGAAUCGGGAGCACAGUCUUCCACAGAGACAACAGCUACUCAUCCAAGCUUGAAAGAAGCCCUGCAAAGUCAGGUGACCUCUCAGGAAACAGAAGCUUGCACCCAUCAGAGAGCUGACGUUAUGACAUGGAGGAGGAAAGGAGCAGCAUCACCACACAAUGAAUCUUCAAACCUCUUUGGUCUGAUGGUGCUGCAAGACUUGCUGGCACCUUCUACAAGCAGUACAGGAUUUUCCAUCAUGCCAUUUAUUAAAAUUCAUUCAUUUGUGUUAAUCAUCCAUAAUGGUAAUAACUAGCCAUGAUUAAACUGAAUAAAAAUCUG